Molecule: transfer RNA, 62 nt
Filed under: Karaftohelix adamsi
Lineage: Eukaryota; Metazoa; Mollusca; Gastropoda; Stylommatophora; Camaenidae
Description: tRNA-Ala
Source: RNAcentral
UGAAAUUAUACUUUAAAUAGAAGAUCUAAUUUGCGUUUAGAAAGUGGGAAACCUAAGUUCAG